GAUGAUGGCUCUGAUUGAACGCUAUCCAAGUGCUUGACACAUGCUAAUCGAACGUCUAAUUUAAUUAGAAAUAAUUUAAAAAGAAGUGGUGUUCUGGUGAGUAAACGAUAUUAUGGCUACCUUGGAGUAAGGGACAUUAAAAUACCUUAUAUAAUACAAAAAAUAUGUAUAAAAAGAAAUUUAUUUUCGCUCCUAGAUGGAAAUUAAUAUCUCGGGCAGGUAGUAGUUAAGGUAAUGGCUUAACUAGCUUAUGUCCGUAGUCGAGACUGAGAGGUCGAUCGAUCACAUUGGGUCUGAAAAAACCCCAAUACGUAUAGUACAGCAGUGAGGAAUAUUGGUCAAUGGCCUAACGGCUGAACCAGCAACUUGGGGGAAUGGAUAUAUAUAUUAGAUAUAAUAUAUAAUACCGACUCUGUCGGAUAAAGUUCUAGAUAGAAGAAUGAUAAUGACAAUUUUCUAUCUAUAUGUCUUGACCAAAUCUUGUGCCAGCAGUCGCGGCAACACAAGGGAGACUAGUGUUAUUCAUCUUUAUUAGGUUUAAAGGGUACCUAGACGGUAUAUCAAGCCCCAAAAGGGAACGGGUAUACUAGAGUUUUAUGUGAGAGGCAAAUAUAGUACUAUUGGUGUAGAGAUAAAAUUCAUUGAUACCUCUAGGCACGGGUAACGGCGAAGGCAAUCCUCUAUGUAAAAACUGACGUUGAGGGACGAAGGCUUGGGGAGCGAAUAGGAUUAGAUACCCUAGUAGUCCAGGCAGACAAUUAUGAAUGUCAUAGAUUAGAUUAUAAUAGUAAGAAAUAAGAAAGAGAGUAAGAUAAUUACUAAAAAAAAAAAGGGUUAGAUGUCUUCACCUCCCUAUUUUUUUUGAUCUAUAAAUGAAAGUGUAAGCAUUCCACCUCAAGAGUAAUGCGGCAACGCAGGAACUGAAAUCAUUAGACCGUUUCUGAAACCAGUAGUGAAGUAUGUUAUUUAAUUCGAUGAUCCGC
RNAcentral lists this ribosomal RNA (983 nucleotides) under Botryosphaeria sp. 96-120. RNAcentral's name for it is "SSU rRNA". It matches the Rfam family "Bacterial small subunit ribosomal RNA", at positions 15 to 962 of the family's 1533-position model. The record is from RNAcentral. Lineage: Eukaryota; Fungi; Ascomycota; Dothideomycetes; Botryosphaeriales; Botryosphaeriaceae.